UCUCCGUUGGUGAACCAGCGGAGGGAUCAUUACCGAGUUAUCCAACUCCCAACCCCUGUGAAUUAUACCUUUAAUUGUUGCUUCGGCGGGACUUCGCGCCCGCCGGGGACCCAAACCUUCUGAAUUUUUUAAUAAGUAUCUUCUGAGUGGUUAAAAAAAUGAAUCAAAACUUUCAACAACGGAUCUCUUGGUUCUGGCAUCGAUGAAGAACGCAGCGAAAUGCGAUAAGUAAUGUGAAUUGCAGAAUUCAGUGAAUCAUCGAAUCUUUGAACGCACAUUGCGCCCGUCAGUAUUCUGGCGGGCAUGCCUGUUCGAGCGUCAUUACGCCCCUCAAGUCCCCUGUGGACUUGGUGUUGGGGAUCGGCGAGGCUGGUUUUCCAGCACAGCCGUCCCUUAAAUUAAUUGGCGGUCUCGCCGUGGCCCUCCUCUGCGCAGUAGUAAAACACUCGCAACAGGAGCCCGGCGCGGUCCACUGCCGUAAAACCCCCCAACUUUUUAUAGUUGACCUCGAAUCAGGUAGGACUACCCGCUGAACUUAA
Molecule: ribosomal RNA, 539 nt
Filed under: Metarhizium anisopliae
Lineage: Eukaryota; Fungi; Ascomycota; Sordariomycetes; Hypocreales; Clavicipitaceae
Description: eukaryotic LSU rRNA
Rfam family: 5.8S ribosomal RNA (bases 168-321)
Source: RNAcentral